GGUGAGAUGGCCGAGCGGUCCAAGGCGCCAGACUAAGGUGACUUUAUCAAACCGAAAGCGUAUUAUCUGGUCUCUUCGGGGGCGGGAGUUCGAAUCUCCCUCUCAUCA
Molecule: transfer RNA, 108 nt
Filed under: Hypsizygus marmoreus
Lineage: Eukaryota; Fungi; Basidiomycota; Agaricomycetes; Agaricales; Lyophyllaceae
Rfam family: tRNA
About the family: Transfer RNA (tRNA) molecules are approximately 80 nucleotides in length. Their secondary structure includes four short double-helical elements and three loops (D, anti-codon, and T loops).
Source: Rfam by way of RNAcentral